This 900-nucleotide ribosomal RNA is filed under the name Triticum aestivum (bread wheat). Its description in RNAcentral is "partial small subunit ribosomal RNA". Lineage: Eukaryota; Viridiplantae; Streptophyta; Magnoliopsida; Poales; Poaceae. The record is from RNAcentral.
AUGGGAGACACCUCUCCGUCGAAAGGCGAUGGGAACAAGAGCGGGAGCGGUGGAAAGUACACGCCGCUAGCGGCCAGGAAGGCCGGCGCCAGCGACGCGGACGGCGGCGCUGUGGUGCUCGCUACCCCGUCAAGAGCCACGAAUGUGCCCAUUCAGUAUCCAAUGCUGACGGACAUGAACUACUCCUUGUGGGCUGUGAAGAUGAAGGUGUUGAUGAAGGCGCUACGCGUCUGGUCGGCAAUCGAGGGCUCCGGCGAGUUUGAUCAGGCCACCGACGAGGGGGCGUUCGCUGCUCUGUCUCAAUCAAUUCCAGAUCAUGUUAUGAUGCAGGUUGCAGACUGCAACACCGUACAGGAGACGUGGGAGCUGAUUCGGUGCGCGCGCGUCGGCGAGGACUGCGUGAAGAAGGCACGUGCGUGCCAGCUCAAGAGGCAAUUUGAUCGCCUCGACAUGGGCGAUGGGGAGACGAUCCCGGAGUUUGCCAGGAAGCUCACCACGUUGGUGAGCGAAAUCCGCUCCCUCGGUGUCACCCUCAGCGAGGAAGCCGUGGUGGAGAGGUUGUUCAGCGCCGUCCCAGAUCGGUUUGCCGACAUCGUCAACACCAUCGAGCAGUGGGGCGACCUCACGACCAUGACGGUGCAGGAGGCCGUCGGGCGGCUCACGGCAUUCAAGGAGAACCAACGCGGGCGGCGGCAGAGCCGUGGCGGCAAGGACGAGCAACUGAUGCUCGUUACACGUGCGCUGGAGACACUGAUGAAAGGCAAGAAGAUGAUCGAUAGUGGCGGCGGGCUAGCUCAAGCGGCAAGAAGGGUGCUGGGCAUGAAAAGGCGCGUGGUGAGCGUGUCCAGUCCAGCGGCAAAGGAAAAGACAAAGAGAAGGUCAAGAAGCACAGAAAGUUAG